Non-coding RNA from Drosophila melanogaster (fruit fly), 486 nucleotides. NCBI's taxonomy places the organism in Eukaryota, Metazoa, Arthropoda, Insecta, Diptera, Drosophilidae. The record is from Ensembl.
ACAUCCAAGCGCAACUUCAUAAAAACUGAUAGCUUAAAUGCGAUAUUUGUGUGAGUUGCAUUGGCAGAUUAGAUACAUUCCAGUGGAAUUGGCUGGGGGCUGGAAAAUCACAGACCUACUAAACCUUUCGUUGGGUUUGUUGGUUUUGUGACCCAGACCUUUUACGUUUGCUUUAAGGACUUGAGGAACAAUAAUAUCCUACAUAUUGGUUAUUAUUGGUUUAGCCGAACAAGGAAAUCAAAGGAUAAAACACCGAAUAAAAGAUUUGAACAUAUUUUACAAACCCAUCCCCCUUCCCCGAUGCCCCAUGGCGAAGUGCACUUCAUCUGGAUAAAAAUUUGCUGUUGGCGGGUCCGAGAUUUCCAUGGUCUGUCAGUUUCCGUUCCCCGGUCCCGGCUCAUCCGAUGGUCAGUGGACCCAGAUGCAGAGACAAAUUUAUAGGAAUCAUUCUAAGAAUUAAUAAAUCUCAAGUUUCCAGUCGUUCCG